Molecule: non-coding RNA, 150 nt
Organism: Ceratotherium simum simum (southern white rhinoceros)
Lineage: Eukaryota; Metazoa; Chordata; Mammalia; Perissodactyla; Rhinocerotidae
Source: RefSeq, a predicted model, not a curated record
GGCCUUCUUUGGGGAUAAUUUUCCUAUUCCUAUUUGUGGUCUUCUCUUUACCCCUUAAAUAAGUUCCUUUAGCACUUCUUGUAAUACUGGUUUCUUGGUGACAAACUCCUUUAAUUUUUGCUUGUCUGGGAAACUCUUUAUCUCUCCUUG